RNAcentral lists this ribosomal RNA (501 nucleotides) under uncultured bacterium. RNAcentral's name for it is "bacterial SSU rRNA". It matches the Rfam family "Bacterial small subunit ribosomal RNA", at positions 28 to 507 of the family's 1533-position model. The record is from RNAcentral.
GAUGAACGCUGGCGGCGUGCCUAAUACAUGCAAGUCGAGCGAAUGGAUUGAGAGCUUGCUCUCAAGAAGUUAGCGGCGGACGGGUGAGUAACACGUGGGUAACCUGCCCAUAAGACUGGGAUAACUCCGGGAAACCGGGGCUAAUACCGGAUAACAUUUUGUAACUGCAUGGUUCGAAAUUGAAAGGCGGCUUCGGCUGUCACUUAUGGAUGGACCCGCGUCGCAUUAGCUAGUUGGUGAGGUAACGGCUCACCAAGGCAACGAUGCGUAGCCGACCUGAGAGGGUGAUCGGCCACACUGGGACUGAGACACGGCCCAGACUCCUACGGGAGGCAGCAGUAGGGAAUCUUCCGCAAUGGACGAAAGUCUGACGGAGCAACGCCGCGUGAGUGAUGAAGGCUUUCGGGUCGUAAAACUACUGUUGUUAGGGAAGAACAAGUGCUAGUUGAAUAAGCUGGCACCUUGACGGUACCUAACCAGAAAGCCACGGCUAACUACGUG